AAUGAACGCUGGCGGCAUGCCUUACACAUGCAAGUCGAACGGCAGCAUGACCUAGCUUGCUAGGUUGAUGGCGAGUGGCGAACGGGUGAGUAAUGCAUCGGAACGUGCCUUUUAGUGGGGGAUAACGUAGCGAAAGUUACGCUAAUACCGCAUAUUCUCUGAGGAGGAAAGCAGGGGACCUUCGGGCCUUGCGCUAGAAGAGCGGCCGAUGUCGGAUUAGCUAGUUGGUGAGGUAAAGGCUCUCCAAGGCAACGAUCCGUAGCGGGUCUGAGAGGAUGAUCCGCCACACUGGGACUGAGACACGGCCCAGACUCCUACGGGAGGCAGCAGUGGGGAAUUUUGGACAAUGGGCGCAAGCCUGAUCCAGCCAUGCCGCGUGAGUGAAGAAGGCCUUCGGGUUGGAAAGCUCUUUCGGCGGGGAAGAAAUCGCACCCUCUAAUACAGGGUGUGGAUGACGGUACCAGCAUAAGAAGCACCGGCUAACUACGUG
RNAcentral lists this ribosomal RNA (490 nucleotides) under uncultured bacterium. Its description in RNAcentral is "partial 16S ribosomal RNA". It matches the Rfam family "Bacterial small subunit ribosomal RNA", at positions 29 to 507 of the family's 1533-position model. The record is from RNAcentral.